Molecule: ribosomal RNA, 488 nt
Filed under: uncultured bacterium
Lineage: Bacteria
Description: bacterial SSU rRNA
Rfam family: Bacterial small subunit ribosomal RNA
Source: RNAcentral
GACGAACGCUGGCGGCGUGGAUUAGGCAUGCAAGUCGAACGGUAGGAUACCUUCGGGUACUGAGAGUGGCGAACGGGUGAGUAACACGUAGGUGAUCUACCCUCAAGAUUGGGACAACCCCAGGGAAACUUGGGCUAAUACCGGAUGAAAGCAGCAGUGAUGUUGUUUGAAAGGUGGCGUAAGCUGCCGUUUGGGGAUGAGCCUGCGCUCUAUUAGUUAGUUGGCGGGGUAAAGGCCCACCAAGGCGAUGAUAGAUAGGCGGCCUUAACGGGUGGUCGCCCACACUGGGAUUGAGAUACGGCCCAGACUCCUACGGGAGGCAGCAGUCGAGAAUAGUCUACAAUGGCCGAAAGGCUGAUAGUGCGACGCCGCGUGAACGAAGAAGCCCUUCGGGGUGUAAAGUUCUUUUAUAUGUGAGCAGUGCUUUCUAUGUGAACAGCAUGGGGAGAGAGAUAUUAGCAUAUGAAUAAGCAACGGCUAACUCCGUG